AAAACUUUCAACAACGGAUCUCUUGGUUCCGGCAUCGAUGAAAAACGCAGCGAAAUGCGAUAAAUAAUGCGAAUUGCAAAAUUCAGUGAGUCAUCAAGUUUUUGAACGCACAUUGCGCCCCCUGGAAUUCCAAAGGGCAUACCUGUUCAAGCGUCAUU
Molecule: ribosomal RNA, 158 nt
Filed under: Coccocarpia palmicola
Lineage: Eukaryota; Fungi; Ascomycota; Lecanoromycetes; Peltigerales; Coccocarpiaceae
Description: 5.8S ribosomal RNA
Rfam family: 5.8S ribosomal RNA
About the family: 5.8S ribosomal RNA (5.8S rRNA) is a component of the large subunit of the eukaryotic ribosome. It is transcribed by RNA polymerase I as part of the 45S precursor that also contains 18S and 28S rRNA.
Source: RNAcentral